UGGGGAAUAUUGGACAAUGGGCGAAAGCCUGAUCCAGCCAUGCCGCGUGUGUGAAGAAGGCCUUCGGGUUGUAAAGCACUUUUAUACGGGAAGAAACGCAACUGGUUAAUACCCGGUUGUACUGACGGUACCGUAAGAAUAAGCACCGGCUAACUUCGUGCCAGCAGCCGCGGUAAUACGAAGGGUGCAAGCGUUACUCGGAAUUACUGGGCGUAAAGCGUGCGUAGGUGGUUUGUUAAGUCUGAUGUGAAAGCCCUGGGCUCAACCUGGGAAUGGCAUUGGAUACUGGCAGUCUAGAGUGUGGGAGAGGGUAGUGGAAUUCCCGGUGUAGCAGUGAAAUGCGUAGAUAUCGGGAGGAACAUCCGUGGCGAAGGCGACUACCUGGACCAACACUGACACUGAGGCACGAAAGCGUGGGGAGCAAACAGG
RNAcentral lists this ribosomal RNA (429 nucleotides) under uncultured bacterium. RNAcentral's name for it is "bacterial SSU rRNA". It matches the Rfam family "Bacterial small subunit ribosomal RNA", at positions 355 to 776 of the family's 1533-position model. The record is from RNAcentral.